This 253-nucleotide ribosomal RNA is filed under the name uncultured bacterium. RNAcentral describes it as "partial 16S ribosomal RNA". It matches the Rfam family "Bacterial small subunit ribosomal RNA", at positions 524 to 776 of the family's 1533-position model. The record is from RNAcentral.
UACGUAGGGGGCAAGCGUUGCCCGGAUUUAUUGGGCGUAAAGAGCGCGUAGGCGGCCAGGCAGGUCCGUUGUGAAAACUCGAGGCUCAACCUCGAGACGCCGAUGGAAACCGUCUGGCUAGAGUCCGGAAGAGGAGAGUGGAAUUCCCGGUGUAGCGGUGAAAUGCGCAGAUAUCGGGAAGAACACCGGUGGCGAAGGCGGCUCUCUGGGACGGUACUGACGCUGAGACGCGAAAGCGUGGGGAGCGAACAGG